AUUGAACGCUGGCGGCAGGCCUAACACAUGCAAGUCGAGCGCGCGGCGGACGGGUGAGAAAUGUCUGGGACACUGCCUGAUGGAGGGGGAAAACCACUGGAAACGGUAGCAUAUACCGUAUACUAUCAGAUGUGCCCAGAUGGGAUGAGCUAGUAGGUGGGGUAACGGCUCCUCUAGGCGACGAUCCCUAGCUGGUCUGAGAGGAUGACCAGCCACACUGGAACUGAGACACGGUCCAGACUCCUACGGGAGGCAGCAGUGGGGAAUAUUGCACAAUGGGCGCAAGCCUGAUGCAGCCAUGCCGCGUGUGUGAAGAAGGCCUUCGGGUUGUAAAGUACUUUCAGCGGGGAGGCGUUACCCGCAGAAGAAGCACCGGCUAACUCCGUGCCAGCAGCCGCGGUAAUAC
This 406-nucleotide ribosomal RNA is filed under the name uncultured bacterium. Its description in RNAcentral is "partial 16S ribosomal RNA". It matches the Rfam family "Bacterial small subunit ribosomal RNA", at positions 30 to 526 of the family's 1533-position model. The record is from RNAcentral.